This 25347-nucleotide long non-coding RNA is filed under the name Sorghum bicolor (sorghum). RNAcentral's name for it is "long non-coding RNA (SBIC_LNC014235)". Lineage: Eukaryota; Viridiplantae; Streptophyta; Magnoliopsida; Poales; Poaceae. The record is from RNAcentral.
UGCGCGCUGCUGGAGUGGAUGGAACAAUGGAAUGUUCUAAAAUUAGAUGCACAAAUGUGGAACAAAUCUGGUGGUUGCAAUAGGAUGCUGAAAAUAGAAUGUGCGCUAGCGCUUAUAAUAGGAUGUAUGGAUGGAAGAAAGGAGCAUGCAGGAGGUGGCGGUUAAUCAUAGCAUGCUCACGGGUUGAAGUGAAAGGGUGCAUGCGCCUAAAAAUAUAGGGGUGCGUACAAGUGAAAAGAGAAACUGGUGGAUGGAGUUUACAUGGUGCACAAGUAGGGUGGUGAUGAUAGUUCAGACAGUCCAAAUGUAUAUGAUAAUAGUGAUUGCAGCAGAGAUUAUACGAUGGGCAAUGACUAAAACGUGACAAGAACUCCAAACUCUAAAAGUCUAAACCCAAGACCAGCAAUUCGACUCGACCGAUGUAAAUCAAACACAACUUGCCUGAACUAAGUAGUACUAGUAAAAGGCUCAAUGGGUCUAUAGGAUGUUGGGAAUGAAACAAAUUUUUUUUUGGCUUUUUUGGACUAUAGGAAGAAAAAUUGCAAACUAAAAUCACUCACCAAUCAAACCUUGCUCUGAUUACCACGUAAUAAGAACGAGGGUGUCCCAAUCUUUUUGGUGGAGAUGGAUAACUUCGAUCUAGUGGAAGGAGACGACGUUCACGAUCCGACUACAACCAUCCAAGGAUGAUGCGCCUUAGCAACCGAUACACCGACUCCAAGGAUCACUGCGUUCUUGUGGUGCGCGACCCGGCCACGAGGGUACUCGUCCUGCAAGCAAUCGAAGAACAAGCAAGAACACAAUGAACAAUCACAAUUGCAAAAUAUAUAUAUAUUGAGCUUUGAAUCUAAAAUCACAAGAUGGUGGGGUUCCGUUUACAAUCAGACGGGCGGUUUAUCCAACACGCGCGCUGAAAGGCGGUAGCAAAUGGCUAACUCGAUUAAACAAAACCCAAAUUGUUGUGGUGGCAUGUAGGAGCCAUAAAUACAAGAGAGAGCAAAGCUAGGCGGCACUCUCGACACUCUAAAAAUAACAGAGAAAUAAAGGCAACCAUUGCUUGGUUGCAUGAGAUCCUUAUUGACCGAAACAUGAGAUCAUUAUUGACCGAAGCAUGCUCUAAAAGUAGGUAUCCGAAGAAAAGGUCCGUGGAGUUAUUAGACAAUUGCGGCCGCCUCAUAGCUGUUGUGAACUUGAAUUGAGAUCCAUCUAAAAAUAUAUUUGACGAGUUUUCCAUCAAGUGCUUGCAUGCUUAAAAUGGACUCUGUAUGAAGUCAUGGCGGUUGUUGUAAGUUUGUGCUGUCUUGCUGUCCAAAUCCAGCCAACGCCAAUCCCCUAUGCUUCUGGUCCUCUCCAUCAUUCCUAAGCAAAAUAAGAGUGCAUAUGUCUCCAUUGUCUAAAUAUGAUGGACAAGAGUUUAAGAAUAAACUUACUUGAUGGUUCAGUUGACGGGCACGGGCACGAGUAAGAGGGCCAAGUGGUGUUGGCGAUGGUGUGGGUGUAGGUGUGGAUGUAUAGAUGGUGCUGAUGUCCUCAUCAUGUUCCAUGCAAACCGUGCACCUAUCUUACAUCAAGAUUAGAACUAUCUCCAAAUAGAUAGAACCAAGAUUCCACUUGAGCCUCUUCACCAAGGAGUACCAUUGUGUGCGUCCAAAAUAGUUUCUUAGCCUAUGGUGCAUUAGGCACAAACCGUGUACCUAUCUUGCACCGAAACUAACACUAUAUCCAAAGAGACCGAAGUGAGAUUCUAUAUGACACACGUCAUCUAAGAGUUCUAUUGGGUGCUUCCAAAUAUAUUUCGAAGCAUAUGGUACGUUUCAUGCAAUUCGUGCACCUAUCUUGCAUCAAGAUUAGCACUAUCUCCAAACAAAGCAAACUGAGCUUCCACUUGAGCACCUUUACCCAGGAGUAUCAUCGGGUGCAUCCAAAAUGGUUUCUUAGCCUAUGAUGCAUUAGGCGCAAACUGGGUACCUAUCUUGCACCAAAACUAACUCUGUCUCCAAACAGACCAAAGCGAGAUUCUAUAUCACACAUGUCAUCUAGGAGUUCUAUUGGGGAGUGUCUAAAUGGAUUUCUUAGCAUAUGGUAUGUUCCAUGCAAACCGUGCACCUAUCUUGCAUCAAGAUUAGCACUAUCUCUAAACAGAUUGAACCGACCUUCCACUUGAGCCUUUUCACCUAGGAUUAUCAUCCGGUGCUUCCAUAAUGGUUUCUGAGCCUAUGGUGCAUUAUGCGCAAACCAUGCACCAAUCUUGCACCUAAACAAACACUGUCUCAAAACAGAUUGAAGCAAGAUUCCAUAUGACACACAUGAUCUAGGAGUUCUAUCGGGUGCAUCCAAAUUGAUUUAUAAGAAUAUGGUACGUUCUAUGCAAACCGUACACCUAUCUUUCAUCAAGAUUAGCACUAUCUCCAAACAGACCGAACCGACCUUUCACUUGAGCCUCUUCACCUAGGAGUACCAUCGGGAACUUCCACAACGAUUUCUGAGCCUAUGGUGCACUGGGCACAAACCAUGCAACCAUCUUGCACUGAAACUAAUACUAUCUCCAACUAGACCGAAGCGAGAUUCCAUAUGAUACACUUCAUCUAGUAGUUCCAUCGGGUGCAUCUACAGUUCCAUCGGGUUUGUCUAAAUUGAUUUCUGAGCAUAUGGUAUGUUCUAUGCAAACCAUGCACCUAUCUUGCAUCAAGAUUAGAACUAUCUCCAAACAGACAGAACUAAGAUUCCCCUUGAGCCUCUUCACCAUGGAGUACCAUCGUGUGCGUCCAAAAUAGUUUCUUAACCUAUGGUGCAUUAGGCACAAACCGUGUACCUAUCUUGCACCAAAACUAACACUACCUCCAAAGAGACCGAAGUGAGAUUCUAUAUGACACACGUCAUCUAGGAGUUCUAUUGGGUGCUUCCAAAUAUAUUUUGAAGCAUAUGGUACGUCCCAUGCAAUGCGUGCACCUAUCUUACAUCAAGAUUAGCACUAUCUCCAAACAAAAGCAAACUGAGCUUUCACUUGAGCCCCUUUACCCAGGAGUAUCAUUAGGUGUAUCCAAAAUGGUUUCUUAGCCUAUGAUGCAUUAGGCACAAACUGUGUACCUAUCUUGCACCAAAACUAGCUCUGUCUCCAAACAGACCGAAGCGAGACUCCAUAUGACACAUGUCAUCUAGGAUUUCUAUUGGGGUGCGUCCAAAUGCAUUUCUUAGCAUAUGGUAUGUUGCAUGCAAACCGUGCACCUAUCUUGCAUCAAGAUUAGCACUAUCUCCAAAUAGAUCGAACCGACCUUCCACUUGAGCCUCUUCAACUAGGAUUAUCAUCGGGUGCUUCCAUAAUGGUUUCUGAGCCUAUGGUGCAUUAUGCGCAAACCAUGCACCAAUAUUGCACCUAAACUAACACUGUCUCCAAACAGAUUUAAGCGAGAUUCCAUAUGACACACAUGAUCUAGGAGUUCUAUCGGGUGCGUCCAAAUUGAUUUCCGAGAAUAUGGUACGUUCCAUGCAAACCGUACACCUGUCUUGCAUCAAGAUUAGCACUAUCUCCGAACAGACCGAAUCGAGCUUUCACAUGAGCCACUUCACCUAGCAGUACCAUCGGGAACUUCCACAAUGAUUUCUGAGCCUAUGGUGCACUGGGCACAAACCAUGCAACUAUCUUGCACCGAAACUAAUACUAUCUCCAACUAGACCGAAGCGAGAUUCCAUAUGAUACACUUCAUCUAGUAGUUCCAUCGGGUGCAUCUACAGUUCCAUCGGGUUUGUCCAAAUUAAUUUCUAAGCAUAUGGUAUGUUCCAUGCAAACCGUGCACCUAUCUUGUAUCAAGAUUAGAACUAUCUCCAAACAGAUAGAACCAAGAUUCCACUUGAGCCUCUUCACCAAGGAGCACCAUCGCGUGCGUCCAAAAAAGUUUCUUAGCCUAUGGUGCAUUAGGCACAAAUCUUGUACCUAUCUUGCACCGAAACUAACACAUCUCCAAAGAGACCGAAGUGAGAUUCUAUAUGACACACGUCAUCUAAGAGUUCUAUUGGGUGCUUCCAAUUAUAUUUUGAAGCAUAUUGUAUGUUCGAUGCAAUUCGUGCACCUAUCUUGCAUCAAGAUUAGCACUAUCUCCAAACAAAGCAAACUGAGCUUCCACUUGAGCCCCUUUACCCAGGAGUAUCAUCGGGUGCAUCCAAAAUGGUUUCUUAGCCUAUGAUGCAUUAGGCGCAAACUGGGUACCUAUCUUGCACCAAAACUAACUCUGUCUCCAAACAGACCAAAGCGAGAUUCUAUAUGACACAUGUCAUCAAGGAGUUCUAUUGGGGAGUGUCCAAAUGAAUUUCUUAGCAUAUGGUAUGUUCCAUGCAAACCGUGCACCUAUCUUGCAUCAAGAUUAGCACUAUCUCUAAACAGAUCGAACCGACCUUCCACUUGAGCCUUUUCACCUAGGAUUAUCAUCGGGUGCUUCCAUAAUUGUUUCUGAGCCUAUGGUGCAUUAUGCGCAAACCCAAUCUUGCACCUAAACAAACACUGUCUCAAAACAGAUUGAAGCAAGAUUCCAUAUGACACACAUGAUCUAGGAGUUCUAUCGGGUGCAUCCAAAUUGAUUUAUAAGAAUAUGGUACGUUCUAUGCAAACCGUACACCUAUCUUUCAUCAAGAUUAGCACUAUCUCCAAACAGACCGAACCGAGCUUGCACUUGAGCCUCUUCACCUAGGAGUACCAUCGGGAACUUCCACAACGAUUUCUGAGCCUAUGGUGCACUGGGCACAAACCAGGCAACUAUCUUGCACCGACACUAAUAUUAUCUCCAACUAGACCGAAGCGAGAUUCCAUAUGAUACACUUCAUCUAGUAGUUCCAUCGGGUGCAUCUACAGUUCCAUCGGGUUUGGCCAAAUUGAUUUCUGAGCAUAUGGUAUGUUCCAUGCAAACCAUGCACCUAUCUUGCAUCAAUAUUAGAACUAUCUCCAAACAGACAGAACCAAGAUCCCACUUGAGCCUCUUCACCAUGGAGUACCAUCAUGUGCGUCCAAAAUAGUUUCUUAACCUAUGGUGCAUUAGGCACAAACCGUGUACCUAUCUUGCACCAAAACUAACACUACCUCCAAAGAGACCGAAGUGAGAUUCUAUAUGACACACGUCAUCUAGGAGUUCUAUUGGGUGCUUCCAAAUAUAUUUCGAAGCAUAUGGUACGUCCCAUGCAAUUCGUGCACCUAUCUUGCAUCAAGAUUAGCACUAUCUCCAAACAAAAGCAAACUGAGUUUCCACUGGAGCCCCUUUACCCAGGAGCAUCAUCGGGUCCAUCCAAAAUGGUUCCUUAGCCUAUGAUGCAUUAGGCGCAAACUGUGUACCUAUCUUGCACCAAAACUAACUUUGUCUCCAAACAAACCGAAGCGAGAUUCCAUAUGACACAUGUCAUCUUGAAGUUCUAUUGGGGUGCGUCCAAAUGGAUUUCUUAGCAUAUGGUAUGUUCCAUGCAAACCGUGCACCUAUCUUGCAUCAAGAUUACCACUAUCUCCAAACAGAUCAAAUCGACCUUCCACUUGAGCCUCUUCACCUUGGAUUAUCAUCGGGUGCUUCCAUAAUGGUUUCUGAGCCUAUGGUGCAUUAUGCGCAAACCAUGCACCAAUCUUGCACCUAAACUAACACUGUCUCUAAACAGAUUGAAGCGAGAUUCCAUAUGACACACAUGAUCUAGAAGUUCUAUCGGGUGCGUCCAAAUUGAUUUCUAAGACUAUGGUACGUUCCAUGCAAACCGUACACCUAUCUUUCAUCAAGAUUAGCACUAUCUCCAAAUAGACCGAGCCGAGCUUUCACUUGAGCCUCUUCACCUAGGAGUACCAUCGGGAACUUCCACAACGAUUUCUGAGCCUAUGGUGCACUGGGCACAAACCAUGCAACUAUCUUGCACCGAAACUAAUACUAUCUCCAACUGGACCGAAGCGAGAUUCCAUAUGAUACACUUCAUCUAGUAGUUCCAUCGGGUGCAUCUACAGUUCCAUCGGGUUUGUCUAAAUUGAUUUCUGAGCAUAUGGUAUGUUCUAUGCAAACCAUGCACCUAUCUUGCAUCAAGAUUAGAACUAUCUCCAAACAGACAGAACUAAGAUUCCACUUGAGCCUCUUCACCAUGGAGUACCAUCGUGUGCGUCCAAAAUAGUUUCUUAACCUAUGGUGCAUUAGGCACAAACCGUGUACCUAUCUUGCACCAAAACUAACACUUCCUCCAAAGAGACCGAAGUGAGAUUCUAUAUGACACACGUCAUCUAGGAGUUCUAUUGGGUGCUUCCAAAUAUAUUUCGAAGCAUAUGGUACGUCCCAUGCAAUUCGUGCACCUAUCUUGCAUCAAGAUUAGCACUAUCUCCAAACAAAAGUAAACUGAGCUUCCACUUGAGCCCCUUUACCCAGGAGUAUCAUCGGGUGCAUCCAAAAUGGUUCCUUAGCCUAUGAUGCAUUAGGCGCAAACUGUGUACCUAUCUUGUACCAAAACUAACUUUGUCUCCAAACAAACCGAAGCGAGAUUCCAUAUGACACAUGUCAUCUCGGAGUUCUAUUGGGGUGCGUCCAAAUGGAUUUCUUAGCAUAUGGUACGUUCCAUGCAAACCGUGCACCUAUCUUGCAUCAAGAUUAGCACUAUCUCCAAACAGAUCAAACCGACCUUCCACUUGAGCCUCUUCACCUAGGAUUAUCAUCGGGUGCUUCCAUAAUGGUUUCUGAGCCUAUGCUGCAUUAUGCGCAAACCAUGCACCAAUCACGCACCUGAACUAACUCUGUCUCCAAACAGAUUGAAGCGAGAUUCCAUAUGACACACAUGAUCUAGGAGUUCUAUCGGGUGCGUCCAAAUUGAUUUCUAAGACUAUGGUACGUUCCAUGCAAACCGUACACCUAUCUUUCAUCAAGAUUAGCACUAUCUCCAAAUAGACCGAGCCGAGCUUUCACUUGAGCCUCUUCACCUAGGAGUACCAUCGGGAACUUCCACAACAAUUUCUGAGCCUAUGGUGCACUGGGCACAAACCAUGCAACUAUCUUGCACCGAAACUAAUACUAUCUCCAACCGGACCGAAGCGAGAUUCCAUAUGAUACACUUCAUCUAGUAGUUCCAUCGGGUGCAUCUACAGUUCCAUCGGGUUUGUCUAAAUUGAUUUCUGAGCAUAUGGUAUGUUCUAUGCAUACCAUGCACCUAUCUUGCAUCAAGAUUAGAACUAUCUCCAAACAGACAGAACUAAGAUUCCACUUGAGCCUCUUCACCAUGGAGUACCAUCGUGUGCGUCCAAAAUAGUUUCUUAACCUAUGGUGCAUUAGGCACAAACCGUGUACCUAUCUUGCACCAAAAUUAACACUUCCUCCAAAGAGACCGAAGUGAGAUUCUAUAUGACACACGUCAUCUAGGAGUUCUAUUGGGUGCUUCCAAAUAUAUUUCGAAGCAUAUGGUACGUCCCAUGCAAUUCGUGCACCUAUCUUGCAUCAAGAUUAGCACUAUCUCCAAACAAAAGUAAACUGAGCUUCCACUUGAGCCCCUUUACCCAGGAGUAUCAUCGGGUGCAUCCAAAAUGGUUCCUUAGCCUAUGAUGCAUUAGGCGCAAACUGUGUACCUAUCUUGCACCAAAACUAACUUUGUCUCCAAACAAACCGAAGCGAGAUUCCAUAUGACACAUGUCAUCUCGGAGUUCUAUUGGGGUGCGUCCAAAUGGAUUUCUUAGCAUAUGGUACGUUCCAUGCAAACCGUGCACCUAUCUUGCAUCAAGAUUAGCACUAUCUCCAAACAGAUCAAACCGACCUUCCACUUGAGCCUCUUCACCUAGGAUUAUCAUCGGGUGCUUCCAUAAUGGUUUCUGAGCCUAUGGUGCAUUAUGCGCAAACCAUGCACCAAUCUUGCACCUAAACUAACUCUGUCUCCAAAUAGAUUGAAGCAAGAUUCCAUAUGACACACAUGAUCUAGAAGUUCUAUCGGAUGCGUCCAAAUUGAUUUCUAAGAAUAUGGUACGUUCCAUGCAAACCGUACACCUAUCUUUCAUCAAGAUUAGCACUAUCUCCAAAUAGACCGUACCGAGCUUUCACUUGAGCCUCUUCACCUAGGAGUACCAUCGGGAACUUCCACAACGAUUUCUGAGCCUAUGGUGCACUGGGCACAAACCAUGCAACUAUCUUGCACCGAAACUAAUAUUAUCUCCAACUGGACCGAAGCGAGAUUCCAUAUGAUACACUUCAUCUAGUAGUUCCAUCGGGUGCAUCUACAGUUCCAUCGGGUUUGGCCAAAUUGAUUUCUGAGCAUAUGGUCUGUUCCAUGCAUACCAUGCACCUAUCUUGCAUCAAGAUUAGAACUAUCUCCAAAAAGACAGAACAAAGAUUCCACUUGAGCCUCUUCACCAAGGAGUACCAUUGUGUGCGUCCAAAAUAGUUUAUUAGCCUAUGGAGCAUUAGGCACAAACCGUGUACCUAUCUUGCAACGAAACUAACACUAUCUCCAAAGAGACCGAAGUAAGAUUCUAAAUGACACACGUCAUCUAGGAGUUCUAUUGGGUGCUUCCAAUUAUAUUUCGAAGCAUAUGGUACGUUCCAUGCAAUUUGUGCACCUAUCUUGCAUCAAGAUUAGCACUAUCUCCAAACAAAAGCAAACUGAGCUUCCACUUGAGCCCCUUUACCCAGGAGUAUCAUCGGGUGCAUCCAAAAUGGUUUCUUAGCCUAUGAUGUAUUAGGCGCAAACUGUGUACCUAUCUUGCACCAAAACUAACUCUUUCUCCAAACAAACUGAAGCGAGAUUCCAUAUGACACAUGUCAUCUCGGAGUUCUAUUGGGGUGCGUCCAAAUGGAUUUCUUAGCAUAUGGUAUGUUCUAUGCAAACCGUGCACCUAUCUUGCAUCAAAAUUAGCACUAUCUCCAAACAAAUCAAACCGACCUUCCACUUGAGCCACUUCAACUAGGAUUAUCAUCGGGUGCUUCCAUAAUGGUUUCUGAGCCUAUGGUGCAUUAUGCGCAAACCAUGCACCAAUCUUGCACCUAAACUAACACUGUCUCCAAACAGAUUGAAGCGAGAUUCCAUAUGACACACAUGAUCUAGGAGUUCUAUCGGGUGCGUCCAAAUUGAUUUCUAAGAAUAUGGUACGUUCCAUGCAAACCGUACACCUAUCUUUCAUCAAGAUUAGCACUAUCUCCAAAUAGACCGAGCCGAGCUUUCACUUGAGCCUCUUCACCUAGGAGUACCAUCGGGAACUUCCACAACAAUUUCUGAGCCUAUGGUGCACUGGGCACAAACCAUGCAACUAUCUUGCACCGAAACUAAUACUAUCUCCAACCGGACCGAAGCGAGAUUCCAUAUGAUACACUUCAUCUAGUAGUUCCAUCGGGUGCAUCUACAGUUCCAUCGGGUUUGUCUAAAUUGAUUUCUGAGCAUAUGGUAUGUUCUAUGCAAACCAUGCACCUAUCUUGCAUCAAGAUUAGAACUAUCUCCAAACAGACAGAACUAAGAUUCCACUUGAGCCUCUUCACCAUGGAGUACCAUCGUGUGCGUCCAAAAUAGUUUCUUAACCUAUGGUGCAUUAGGCACAAACAGUGUAACUAUCUUGCACCAAAACUAACACUUCCUCCAAAGAGACCGAAGUGAAUUCUGGGAUCAUCUANNNNNNNNNNNNNNNNNNNNNNNNNNNNNNNNNNNNNNNNNNNNNNNNNNNNNNNNNNNNNNNNNNNNNNNNNNNNNNNNNNNNNNNNNNNNNNNNNNNNNNNNNNNNNNNNNNNNNNNNNNNNNNNNNNNNNNNNNNNNNNNNNNNNNNNNNNNNNNNNNNNNNNNNNNNNNNNNNNNNNNNNNNNNNNNNNNNNNNNNNNNNNNNNNNNNNNNNNNNNNNNNNNNNNNNNNNNNNNNNNNNNNNNNNNNNNNNNNNNNNNNNNNNNNNNNNNNNNNNNNNNNNNNNNNNNNNNNNNNNNNNNNNNNNNNNNNNNNNNNNNNNNNNNNNNNNNNNNNNNNNNNNNNNNNNNNNNNNNNNNNNNNNNNNNNNNNNNNNNNNNNNNNNNNNNNNNNNNNNNNNNNNNNNNNNNNNNNNNNNNNNNNNNNNNNNNNNNNNNNNNNNNNNNNNNNNNNNNNNNNNNNNNNNNNNNNNNNNNNNNNNNNNNNNNNNNNNNNNNNNNNNNNNNNNNNNNNNNNNNNNNNNNNNNNNNNNNNNNNNNNNNNNNNNNNNNNNNNNNNNNNNNNNNNNNNNNNNNNNNNNNNNNNNNNNNNNNNNNNNNNNNNNNNNNNNNNNNNNNNNNNNNNNNNNNNNNNNNNNNNNNNNNNNNNNNNNNNNNNNNNNNNNNNNNNNNNNNNNNNNNNNNNNNNNNNNNNNNNNNNNNNNNNNNNNNNNNNNNNNNNNNNNNNNNNNNNNNNNNNNNNNNNNNNNNNNNNNNNNNNNNNNNNNNNNNNNNNNNNNNNNNNNNNNNNNNNNNNNNNNNNNNNNNNNNNNNNNNNNNNNNNNNNNNNNNNNNNNNNNNNNNNNNNNNNNNNNNNNNNNNNNNNNNNNNNNNNNNNNNNNNNNNNNNNNNNNNNNNNNNNNNNNNNNNNNNNNNNNNGCCCCUUUACCCAGGAGUAUCAUCGGGUGCAUCCAAAAUGGUUUCUUAGCCUAUGAUGUAUUAGGCGCAAACUGUGUACCUAUCUUGCACCAAAACUAACUCUUUCUCCAAACAAACUGAAGCGAGAUUCCAUAUGACACAUGUCAUCUCGGAGUUCUAUUGGGGUGCGUCCAAAUGGAUUUCUUAGCAUAUGGUAUGUUCUAUGCAAACCGUGCACCUAUCUUGCAUCAAAAUUAGCACUAUCUCCAAACAAAUCAAACCGACCUUCCACUUGAGCCACUUCAACUAGGAUUAUCAUCGGGUGCUUCCAUAAUGGUUUCUGAGCCUAUGGUGCAUUAUGCGCAAACCAUGCACCAAUCUUGCACCUAAACUAACACUGUCUCCAAACAAAUUGAAGCGAGAUUCCAUAUGACACACAUGAUCUAGGAGUUCUAUCGGGUGCGUCCAAAUUGAUUUUUGAGAAUAUGGUACGUUCCAUGCAAACCGUACACCUAUCUUUCAUCAAGAUUAGCACUAUCUCCAAACAGACUGAACCGAGCUUUCACUUGAGCCUCUUCACCUAGGAGUACCAUCAUGAACUUCCACAACGAUUUCUGAGCCUAUGGUGCACUGGGCACAAACCAUGCAACUAUCUUGCACCGAAACUAAUACUAUCUCCAACUGAACCGAAGCGAGAUUCCAUAUGAUACACUUCAUCUAGUAGUUCCAUCGGGUGCAUCUACAGUUCCAUCGGGUUUGUCCAAAUUGAUUUCUGAGCAUAUGGUAUGUUCCAUGCAAACCAUGCACCUAUCUUGCAUCAAGAUUAGAACUAUCUCCAUACAGACAGAACCAAGAUUCCACUUGAGCCUCUUCACCAUGGAGUAUCAUCGCGUGCAUCCAAAAUAGUUUCUUAGCCUAUGGAGCAUUAGGCACAAACCGUGUACCUAUCUUGCACCGAAACUAACACUAUCUCCAAAGAGACCGAAGUGAGAUUCUAUAUGACAGACUGCUGACGGUCCUUAAUGCUCACAUUUAACCAUCAACUAAUCAUAGAAAAUGAUCCAAAUGCAAGCAACACCUAGACUCAGGGUUUUAUCUGACAGAAUUCCACGAGUUUUGGUGUUUGUCUAUUUCUGCAGGGGGUUAUCAGGAAAUACGGAAGAAAGGCCCACACGUCGGGUUUACAUAGAGAUAUUAACGUGCCGCGCAAUUUUCUAUCAUCUAGAAGACUCCAGAAGCCACGGGACCGAAGCGGAGGCCGAGAGGGCUCAGGCACAGGGCGCCCGCCCUAGUCCCUUGGGCGCCCGCCCUCAGCCAGAGUCCAAUCAGGACUCUCUUUCGAGAUAUUGCUCCACCGACCUAAAGGAUCAACAAUAACCGUUCAAUCAAUGUCGGUUUGAUCCGACGGCCCAGAUUCACUUGAAGGGACUAUAAAACCAGACCCCCCUGGCCCCUGGAGAUCAUACCUCUUCUACAAAAUCAAAGCUAGGGUUUCAAUUCUUCAUCCAAGUAGAGAGGAUCCCUCUAGUUCUUCUAGUUCUACAUCUAGUUCAUCUAGAUCUAGUUCUAGUUCAUCUAGUUCUAGUUCUAGUUCCUCUAGUUCUAGUUCUAGUUAGUUCUAGUUGUAAUCUAGAAAAUAGUGAGAGAGAAGAGGAGAGCGGAGGAGGAGCCGGAUCUGUCGGAUCUUCCUCAACAUUGUACUUUUGCAGCAACUGGUUCGUUCUUCAUCGUUCUCCAGGUUCUUCAAUUCAUAACUCCUGAGUUCUCUAAUUACUUUUAUUUACAUUCAAGUUAUUUAUUGGAUUCCCGCUUGCAUCAAGUGCUCUAGUCUUUAUAACGCUAGAGUAGUAAUUAAUAGAUUAGACGUGGUGUUUAGUCUUGCGAUUACCUGGAAUUGCACCCAAUCCUACGGAUUGUUGUGGUAGCCCUAGGGUAGUGACAGCCCUAACGGUCGACGUAUUCCACCAUGUUCGGAUCGGUGUUUGUAGGACCGUAGUCAGACCUUCCUAGCCCCCUUCUCAUCUCUUUCUGUGGUUAGUGCUCUGAUGUCCCGAUAUAGAUAAUCUUGAAGUAAUUCUUGAUUCUUAGAUCAACUAGAGAACUCCCAGGAAACUUCCUCUCUUCCCACCAAAAAUAUUCAUAUAGUUAUCCUUGGGCGAUCUUGGAUCUUAAUUAGUACACUCACGUUCCCUGUGGAAAAUCGAUACUCUGGAAUACUCCCGGGUGAAGGCUACAUCAGUAUCCGUGCGCUUGCGGAUUUUUCUGUUUGCGUUUAAAAUACCCAACAAGCUUUCUGGCGCCGUUGCCGGGGAACGGUAGCUGUGCUAGUUUCGAAUGAAGUCGCCCGUGUAUCCUUUUUCUUUUCCUUUUUUACCACACUCACCUUAUCACUUUCACCAUACCACAUGGAUUUCACUCUAAGCAUUAAUGAGCAUGGAAUUUAUUUCAUAGCCACUUCACUUACUCCAUGCUCAUAUGCAACAUCUUCACAAUCCAUUGGUCUCUCCAACAUCACCACAUUCGAGAUCUCCAACCCCCUCAUCCUUUCUAUUUAUAAAAACUUUAAAAGGGUGGUUGUCGAUGCAUAUGUCUAUAAUAAAUUUUGCAGAUCUCGUUGAGUUGAUCUUGAUAUAGGUCAGCGUUGGAGGGGAAACCACUUCGCUGACAUAAAUUAAUGGUUUCCCAAGGACAAGCUUAGUGUCCUAAAAUAAGCACUGAUCAGAUCGUAACAUGAGCUUUUAAUUAUUUGCAACAUUACCUUGUGUAUUGAGCAUAUAAGGAUAAUUGUAAAAAUAUUCCUUCGGAUAUUCUUGCCACUAACCUUUCCAGGAUUGGAGCAAGAAGAUCGGAUGAAUGACAAGCACAAGGUAUGUCCAACCAAACAUCAUACAACAUUGAAUUAAAUUCAUCCAAACUUGAAUUUUGCAAAAUUCAAGCUUGGGGGAGUACUUUACAUAAAAACAUCCUUUGCCAUGUUGCGAUGUUGGUUGUCCCUACCUUUAAGACAUGCUCAAUUUGUUAAAUACUAAUCACACUACUUCUUCUCCACUUGAGUAGAUCUCUAUAAAUGCUCUCAUGCCACCUUUAUUUGCUUUAGUAUAUGUCUAGGUUUGGAGUAGUUUCAUUUAUCUCUUAAUUAAGCAUGGUGCUUAGCUAGGAAUGAUGAUCUUACUUCCAAGGGAUUUUAGAUUAAGCAUGGUGCUUAGGUUAAAAUGCCCUCCUAAAUCAAAUUAGACAUGGUGUCUAGGUUGAUCUUUGAGCCGAUAGUAUGCUAUAGUAGAUAUUGGAUAUUUUGUUGGACUAACCCCUGCAGGAAAACUUUCAAUAUCGACCUGGGAAGUCCUGAGAUAAGCUCACAUUGAAGACAAAGACUGAGACACAUGAAGUUUAACAAUUUACACAAGGAAGGCAUAGCUCACAAGAGAUGAUCCAUGGAGGGUGCCACAAACACGAUGCACAACCGCUAAGAAAGGAAAGCUUCCACAAGGUCAUACCGUACCAUCACUCUUCAAGGAAGGUAACAUCUUAAGGUACUUGACUAUCACUUUAUAAGUUUCUCUUUGGUUCUAGCGUUCACAUGAGUAAAAGAGACAAACAUGUAUGAUUUACAACUCUAGAUUAACCAACCCAAUCGAUUCAAUAUGUUUAGUCCUUCCACCUUUGUGAUCCCACACUCCUAAUCAUAUGAGCUAAAAUGUUGCACACUCAAUCUUUGGAAGAUAUAUAUAUAUAAAAAAACAUAAGUAUAGAUAGAUUAUCUUUCCAUUAGGUUGAGUGAUCUGAUCUGACGAAUGUUUUAAAUGCUACACUCAUGAUCUUAUUAUCCAUCAACUGUGUCUUGCUCACUAUGCUUAAGGUUAGAGAAGAACAAAUACACUUCUGGUUCUGUUGGUGUGUUCUACCAACAGGGCCCAUGCACUUGAUCUCUGCCUUGUCUCUAUGAGCAGAUACACUUCGAGCAAAAUAUGACGGAGUUUUACAACUCCCAGACUCCAUCAAGUGAAGAACCUACAUCUACGAGCACAAACACACUGGAGAUACUGGACACUCAGGCAAUCACUGCCCUGAGAUGCUUGAGGACGUAACUACUGGAGUAACCUCGUUGUGGAAGUAAUUACUGACCUUCUGCCGGUCAAGAGAGGCAAUCCAGGAUGCACUGUCAUCCCGAUCUCCAUCGGCAUGCCUGCAGAUCAGACACUAAGUUUCCCAAAAGGAAUAUUGAAGAACCUCUGCGUCCGAGUUGGUACCUUGUACGCCCCAGCAGACUUCAUGGUGAAAGAGACUGGUACUAAUGAGAGGGCACCCAUCAUUCUAGGGAGGCCAUUACUAAACACCUCGGGAGCUGUCAUCUACGCUAGUGCUGCCAAGAUCAGUUUCUACAUCAAGGGGAAUAAGGAGACGUUUUCCUUCAAGAACAAGACUACACAAAUCUUAGAGCAAUCCCGACAUGAACCAAGGAAGAGGACCAACAGGAGGAACAGGAACAAGCAAAUGUGUACCGAGUCAUCUAAGAUGGUCACUGCAGCUCAAGGAGGUCAAGAUCGUCAACUCAAGUCACCUUUCUUGAUCAAGAAGGAUGACCCUGGUGUUCCAAGCAUCGAGUGCACAAUCAACGGAUAUUCUUUUCAGAAGACACUCUACGACACUGGAUCUAACGUCAACAUAAUGGCCGCAGUCACUUAUCAGCUCCUGCAUGGAACCAUGUCCCUACAACCAACAUACAUUCAGCUCCAGAUGAUUUUAAGGUUAUUGACAUGGGAGAAGACAAGUACGAUCCACCCAUCAUCCUUGGAAGACCGUUCCUCAGCACUGUUAAAGCAAUCAUCUACAUUGGAACCGGAGAAGUCCACAUGCACUUCCCCUCUAACAAGGUACGCCGCUAUUUUACUGACCUUAAUUAUAUAGUUGAAGACUCUAAGCAGGUCAGGACAAGAAGAAGACGACGCAACCGUAACCAGAGAAGGCAAAAUCAUCAAGGACGGAUGGGUAGACUAUGAAGGAGAAGUUGUAAGGUCUGAAGAUAUACAGCUUGAUCAGAACUGUCCUAAGGAGACCGUAGCACCGAGUCAGGUGUGUAGAGAGAAGAUUGUUAUACACGAAGAGGAGGCGCCGCCGGAACCACCGACUAUGCCAUCCAGCGAAUCCUAGGAUGAUUGAGAAAACGGAGAGUCCCGUUCGGAGGACUUAAAAACACCGAACGCCUUGCCAAGAGGUAAACUUGGUAGUUAUCUUUCUCCUUUCAAUUAUUUAAAACAGUUUGCUUAGUUAAUCAGGUUUAUAUCAUCUUGAAAAGAAAAUAAAAUAGUAAGCCCCAUGUGAUUAUGCUCAUGGCAUAAAACCCAUAAGUACAUUCACUGUGGUGGCAUAAAAAUGAAAUAAAUAUAUUCCUGUCCUAUAAAAUGAAAAUAUAAAAAUAAAUUUAUGAUCCUACUAAAGAGAGUAACAUUUAUUGAGGAAGCUCAACAUGAUAAAGGCUAGAUACUUAUGCUAACACUUAACUAGUUCCACAAAGCUUUGUUGUCUAUUUGAGCUCCACAGAAUUCAAGGAUCAAAGAAGACUAGCAGACGGAGGACAUCCUAAUCGCUGUCAGGGUGCUGCCGACAUUCAAAUACACCUCCGCCACUUGCUAGCUACAUCAGAAGAGAUUACGUCAAAAUCCAGCUUGGGGGAGAGCAACCCCAUUUAUCCAGCUAAGUGUUUCUACUCACAUUUAUACUUUACUCUAAUAAUAAAAUGAUGCAUAAUCAUAGAAACCCAAAUAAAGAUUUUGUGCUUAUAUAUAUCUUUGCUUAGUUUGCUAAAUAAAUAAAUAAAGUUUGCUAUGAACCCUCAUGAUAAGCUCUCACAUGGAAAUUAUGAAUAGUUGCUCUGCCAUGACUAGUUCUCAAAAUUGAACUCUCUCUCAAGUUUAGGCAUAACUGUUAUGAAUUAAGAUUUGCUCUAAACCUAAACUUGUGGGAAGAGUACUUGAUCUGAAGUCUAAGUCGUUAACGGAUAUGAUAUGGAAAGGUUGAGCUGCUGUUUAUCUGUUCCUAGAGAUGCUAGAAUUCUGGAGAAUUUUAUCUUUGGAAAUAUUUAAAAUGUUGCAUGAUGAGUUCCUGUAUGAUGAGAGUUUAAAUUCCUACCACAGCCAUAUAUACAUGCUUGCUAGACUAUGAACUACACAUUUACUUUUUACUGCUUAUGAGCAUUGAGUAUGGUCAAGCUGUGUAGACCCUUAGGAGCUUGUCAUGUGGUUAAAAUCAAGAUUCACUUGCACGUUCACUCAUACAUGUUGCUUCUACUCCGGAAGUACGCAUCCACAUAUAUAGCCAACCAUUUCCAUCUCCAGAACCACCCAAAAAAUAUUCUACUCCUAAUCAAGGAGAGAAUAGCCAAAAACAUUUCUGUUUUCCCUUGUGAAAUAAAUGCUCAAGUUAUCUUGUUACUACCACUUGCUAUAUUGUCUCAUGAGAUGAGUGCUCUAAAAAAAAGAAGAAAAAAAAGAGAGAAUACGAGGAAAUAAAAAGGGGCAAGUGCCCGGAACCUCGAAAGAAAAGAAAAAGUGAGACGAGAGGUAAAAAUGGACAAGUGUCCGACAGUAGAAUUAGGGGUACAAGAUACCCACCUGAGAGAAAAGAAAAAGAAAAUAUAGAGCAUCUCAUUCUCCUCAAAAAGUUUCAAAAGUGCAAGAAAGGUAUGUAUCCCCUCAAAAGAGCAUAAGUAGAAUUAGACUUUCACCAUUGUUAUCACCAUCAUCACCAUACACCAUUCAUUCGCCACACAUGCACAUCUUGAUUUGACUUAUUGACUUGUUCUUUUGGAUCCAUGGUUUGACUAUGCAAUAAAUGUCUUGUAAGUAUGUAUUAGCCGUCUCCCACCUAUGAGCUCCAGAUAUCAAAAGCCUUAUUAGAGUAGGGUGAGAGAGAAGGCAACGCCACUAUGCUUUAUACCACAAAUACCACAUACUUUGAGAGAAGGCAUACACCAUUACUGCCUUGGUAAGGAUCCAGAAAUACCACAAAUGAGAGACUAGAGAGAGUCAUACAAGGAAUCUCUGAGUUUUAUUUGAAAAUCUGCAAAAACUCCAGAGCUAUAGUUAAUCGAAGAACAAGAGACAUGGCGCUUGACUAGACCGUUCUAUCUUUUAACUGCUCAAGACAAAAGUGACAGUUGCAAGCCCCAUGGUGAAAGGUAAUAUGAGUAAGUUUAAAUCUUAACAGUUACCCUAACCCAGAGAUGAGAUCUUGUUUGAAUGCAUGUAUAUCUUUAAGGCAUGAAACCACUGCAGAAACUCUUGAGUUCAUCUUUGCUCAGGGACAAGCAAAGGUUAAGCUUGGGGGAGCUUGUUGACGGUCCUUAAUGCUCACAUUUAACCAUCAACUAAUCAUAGAAAAGGAUCCAAAUGCAAGCAACACCUAGACUUAGGGUUUUAUCUGACAGAAUUCCACGAGUUUUGGUGUUUGUCUAUUUCUGCAGGGGGUUAUCAGGAAAUACGGAAGAAAGGCCCACACGUCGGGUUUACAUAGAGAUAUUAACGUGCCGCGCAAUUUUCUAUCAUCUAGAAGACUCCAGAAGCCACGGGACCGAAGCGGAGGCCGAGAGGGCUCAGGCACAGGGCGCCCGCCCUAGUCCCUUGGGCGCCCGCCCUCAGCCAGAGUCCAAUGAGGACUCUCUUUCGGGAUAUUGCUCCACCGACCUAAAGGAUCAACAAUAACCGUUCAAUCAAUGUCGGUUUGAUCCGACGGCCCAGAUUCACUUGAAGGGACUAUAAAACCAGACCCCCCUGGCCCCUGGAGAUCAUACCUCUUCUACAGAAUCGAAGCUAGGGUUUCAAUUCUUCAUCCAAGUAGAGAGGAUCCCUCUAGUUCUUCUAGUUCUACCUCUAGUUCAUCUAGAUCUAGUUCUAGUUCAUCUAGUUCUAGUUCUAGUUCCUCUAGUUCUAGUUCUAGUUAGUUCUAGUUGUAAUCUAGAAAAUAGGGAGAGAGAAGAGGAGAGCGGAGGAGGAGCCGGAUCUGUCGGAUCUUCCUCAACAUUGUACUUUUGCAGCAACUGGUUCGUUCUUCAUCGUUCUCCAGGUUCUUCAAUUCAUAACUCCUGAGUUCUCUAAUUACUUUUAUUUACAUUCAAGUUAUUUAUUGGAUUCCCGCUUGCAUCAAGUGCUCUAGUCUUUAUAACGCUAGAGUAGUAAUUAAUAGAUUAGACGUGGUGUUUAGUCUUGCGAUUACCUGGAAUUGCACCCAAUCCUACGGAUUGUUGUGGUAGCCCUAGGGUAGUGACAGCCCUAACGGUCGACGUAUUCCACCACGUUCGGAUCGGUGUUUGUAGGACCGUAGUCAGACCUUCCUAGCCCCCUUCUCAUCUCUUUCUGUGGUUAGUGCUCUGAUGUCCCGAUAUAGAUAAUCUUGAAGUAAUUCUUGAUUCUUAGAUCAACUAGAGAACUCUCAGGAAACUUCCUCUCUUCCCACCAAAAAUAUUCAUAUAGUUAUCCUUGGGCGAUCUUGGAUCUUAAUUAGUACACUCACGUUCCCUGUGGAAAAUCGAUACUCUGGAAUACUCCCGGGUGAAGGCUACAUCGGUAUCCGUGCGCUUGCGGAUUUUUCUGUUUGCGUUUAAAAUACCCAACACAGACGUCAUUUAGGAGUUCUAUUGGGUGCUUUCAAUUAUAUUUCGAAGCAUAUGGUACGUUCUAGGCAAUUCGUGCACCUAUCUUGCAUCAAGAUUAGCACUAUCUCCAAACAAAAGCAAACUGAGCUUCCACUUGAGCCCCUUUACCCAGGAGUAUCAUCGGGUGCAUCCAAAAUGGUUUCUUAGCCUAUGAUGCAUUAGGCGCAAACUGUGUACCUAUCUUGCACCAAAACUAACUCUGUCUCCAAACAGAUUGAAGCGAGAUUUCAUAUGACACACAUGAUCUAGGAGUUCUAUCGGGUGCGUCCAAAUUGAUUUAUGAGAAUAUGGUAUGUUCCACGCAAACCGUACACCUAUCUUUCAUCAAGAUUAGCACUAUCUCCAAACAGACCGAACCGAGCUUUCACUUGAGCCUCUUCACCUAGGAGUACCAUCAGGAACUUCCACAACGAUUUCUGAGCCUAUGGUGCACUGGGCACAAACCAUGCAACUAUCUUGCAUCGAAACUAAUACUAUCUCCAACUGAACCGAAGCGAGAUUCCAUAUGAUACACUUCAUCUAGUAGUUCCAUCGGGUGCAUCUACAGUUCCAUCGGGUUUGUCCAAAUGUAUUUCUGAGCAUAUGGUAUGUUCCAUGCAAACCAUGCACCUAUCUUGCAUCAAGAUUAGAACUAUCUCCAUAUAGACAGAACCAAGAUUCCACUUGAGCCUCUUCACCAUGGAGUACCAUCGUGUGCGUCCAAAAUAGUUUCAUAGCCUAUGGAGCAUUAGGCACAAACCGUGUACCUAUCUUGCACCGAAACUAACAUUAUCUCCAAAGAGACCGAAGUGAGAUUCUAUAUGACAGACAUCAUCUAGGAGUUCUAUUGGGUGCUUUCAAUUAUAUUUCGAAGCAUAUGGUACGUUCCAGGCAAUUCGUGCACCUAUCUUGCAUCAAGAUUAGCACUAUCUCCAAACAAAAGCAAACUGAGCUUCCACUUGAGCCCCUUUACCCAGGAGUAUCAUCGGGUGCAUCCAAAAUGGUUUCUUAGCCUAUGAUGCAUUAGGCGCAAACUGGGUACCUAUCUUGCACCAAAACUAACUCUGUCUCCAAACAGACCGAAGCGAGAUUCCAUAUGACACAUGUCAUCUAGGAGUUCUAUUCGGGUGCGUCCAAAUGGAUUUCUUAGCAUAUGGUAUGUUCCAUACAAACCGUGCACCUAUUUUGCAUCAAGAUUAGCACUAUCUCCAUACAGAUCGAACCGACCUUCCACUUGAGCCACUUCAACUAGGAUUAUCAUCGGGUGCUUCUAUAAUGGUUUCUGAGCCUAUGGUGCAUUAUGCGCAAACUAUGCACCAAUCUUGCACCUAAACUAACACUGCCUCCAAACAGAUUGAAGCGAGAUUCCAUAUGACACACAUGAUCUAGGAGUUCUAUCGGGUGCGUCCAAAUUGAUUUAUGAGAAUAUGGUACGUUCCAUGCAAACCGUACACCUGUCUUUCAUCAAGAUUAGCACUAUCUCCAAAUAGACCGAACCGAACUUUCACUUGAGCCUCUUCACCUAGUAGUACCAUCGGGAACUUCCACAACGAUUUCUGAGCCUAUGGUGCACUGGGCACAAACCAUGCAACUAUCUUGCACCGAAACUAAUACUAUCUCCAACUGGACCGAAGCGAGAUUCCAUAUGAUACACUUCAUCUAGUAGUUCCAUCGGUGCAUCUACAGUUCCAUCGGGUUUGUCCAAAUUGAUUUCUGAGCAUAUGGUAUGUUCCAUGCAAACCGUGCACCUAUCUUGCAUCAAGAUAAGAACUAUCUCCAAAAAGAUAGAACAAAGAUUCCACUUGAGUCUCUUCACCAAGGAGUACCAUCGUGUGCGUCCAAAAUAGUUUAUUAGUCUAUGGUGCAUUAGGCACAAUCCGUGUACCUAUCUUGCAACGAAACUAACACUAUCUCCAAAGAGACCAAAGUGAGAUUCUAUAUGACACACGUCAUCUAGGAGUUCUAUUGGGUGCUUCCAAUUAUAUUUCGAAGCAUAUGGUAUGUUCCAUGCAAUUCGUGCACCUAUCUUGCAUCAGGAUUAGCACUAUCUCCAAACAAAAUCGAACCGACCUUCCACUUGAGCCUCUUCACCUAGGAUUAUCAUCGGGUGCUUCCAUAAUGGUUUCUUAGCUUAUGGUGCAUUAUGCGCAAAUCAUGCACCAAUCUUGCACCGAAACUAACACUGUCUCCAAACAGAUUGAAGCGAGAUUCCAUAUGACACACAUGAUCUAGGAGUUCUGUCGGGUGCGUCCAAAUUGAUUUCUGAGAAUAUGGUACAUUCCAUGCAAACCGUACACCUAUCUUUCAUCAAGAUUAGCACUAUCUCCAAAUAGACCGAACCGAACUUUCACUUGAGCCUCUUCACCUAGGAGUACCAUCGGGAACUUCCACAACGAUUUCUGAGCCUAUGGUGCUCUGGGCACAAACCAUGCAACUAUCUUGCACCGAAACUAAUACAAUCUCCAACUGGACCGAAGCGAGAUUCUGUAUGAUACACUUCUGUUGACACCGUUUUUGGGCACGUGUCCAUGAUUGGUAAAGUGUAGGUCGGUAAGAUAUGACGGCAGUGUUUGAUCUACAGGAUGAGUUGCCGAUGAGGAUGGUUGCCGAUGGAGGAGUGGUUGAACGUGACCAAGUCCAUAGGUGAUGAUGUGUUUGUGCCGAUGGCUACGACAAGGGAGUCUGCCGAUGAUAUGGAGAGAGAGUCUGGAAGUUGCCGAUCGGUUUGUGGAGGUGUUCCAGUUUGUCACCGGGGGAUAGUUUUAUGUUUUCCUUAGUUAUUUAAGUCGUUUUGUAUACGAAUUUUGUGUGAUUUGGAAUUCGAGUUCUAGUCGUGUCUGGUUGUAGCUCUUUGAGCAGGGUAUAAAUAUGGAUCCUAGGGCUUUGUAAUCGAUAUCUAUCAAUCAAUCAAACACACGUUUUACUCACAUUCUAAGCAUCUACUUUUUCGACGAAUUUGUCAUACUUUUUCUUUUCAUUACGAGUUCUUAGGAAUUCGUCGACUUAAGCUCGACGUGUUCUCAAGUUCCGCGUGAAUACCUCUUGGCCGUGACAUCCGGGCGCAUCGCUGUUGUCGGGACCAAAGUAUUCGAGUUACCACCUUUGCCGAUAGUAAGGUCAAAUCGGCUCGCACGCCUUAACGUUUAAAUCGGGUAUUAGCCCUUUGUGUUUGCAGAUCAGCUUUUACAUCAACAACUUCAUCUAGUAGUUCCAUUGGGUGCAUCUAUAGUUCCAUCAGGUUUGUCCAAGUUGAUUUCUGAGCAUAUAGUAUGAUCCAUGCAAACCGUGCACCUAUCUUGCAUCAAGAUAAGAACUAUCUCCAAAAAGAGAGAACAAAGAUUCCACUUGAGCCUCUUCACCAAGGAGUACCAUCGUGUGCGUCCAAAAUAGUUUCUUAGCCUAUGGUGCAUUAGGCACAAACCAUGUACCUAUCUUGCACCAAAACUAACACUAUCUCCAAAGACGAAGUGAGAUUCUAUAUGACACACGUCAUCUAGGAGUUCUAUUGGGUGCUUCCAAUUAUAUUUCGAAGCAUAGUCGGGUAUUAGCCCUUUGUGUUUGCAGAUCAGCUUUUGCAUCAACACAUCUUUUGGCACGCCUAGUGGGACCGCUUCAAGAUCAAGAUCAACAUGUCGAAUACUGAGUUCGACUUGGAGAACGUUAUCCCCGUGACAGAAGAUAGUCUCAAAGACGAGCAGAAGCAAGCUAUUGCUAAAGCCAUGGAGGAUUACAAGCAGCAAUGCCUGAGGUCCUUCAGCACAAACAGGAGCGGCGAAGUGAUCCAGAAGGAUGCGCUGCCGAUGCCUCGGCAGGUUACUUUUGAAGCCAAUCCUGGUAAACUUCAAGAGAUGGUUGAUAGUGCUAUCAACCGUGCUUUGAUCAACCAAGCUGGUGUGCUGUCCAAUACGGUUUUCAACGCCAUGGCCAGAACGUUCAAGGAAGGACAAUUGCCACCAGAUUAUGUGGGCCCCUCUCAUCAUCAGCCAGGAUCACCGGUGGUCAUAGCUCCAUCGGCUGCUACGGCCGCUGCGGGUAUGGAAAUUCCUGAUCCGCCAAGCACGUUAGGAGUCACUAAUGCACGAUCUACGCCGAUGACGACUAAUCCACCAACUUCAGAUGGGCAGAUUAAAGUCGCUACAGAUCUAUUGGCAUCGGCAAUGUCAGGAUCGAUUCCUCCUCCUAACUGGUGGGGUUAUGGUAUGCCCCCAGAGUUAACACCGGCUAUGUCGCGGACGACUGAUGUGAGAGGCAAGGCUCCUAUGGCAUCGGCACCCCCAAGCAUUCCGAUGAAUCAGAGUCCCCAGUAUACUACAACUACUACUGCAUGGCCUUACACUGGGAAUUCUCAAGCUUGGAUGUUCUAGAUGCCUAACGCAUCGGCGGACUCAAUGCUGAUCCAACAGAGGAUUAUGACUCAACCAGGGUAUGUUAAUUCGAUGAUGAUGCCCAAUUACCAGUCAUCGGCAGGUCCUAUGCCAAUGAAUGCUAAUAACGGAUGGCUUGGGCAGCAAGUCUUUCCACAAACACUCCAACAGAGUCAUCAGGCUACAGGGUUCCAGUAGAGCCAGAUCUAUCCCGGGUUCCAGAAUCAGGGAAUCCCCAACCAGCCGAUGAAUAUUGGACAGCAGGUCGGCGGACAGCAGAUUGGCGGGCAACAGCUUGGUGGUCCGCAUAUUGGGGGUCAAAUCAUUAACCCAAUGUUUCAUGCAGAUCGUGCACCGCACAGACACGUGGAAGCUUACUAGCAGGUACCGGAUCCGCAACCACCUCAUCGGCAAGAUGCCGAUGCUUAUUGGGCCGAUAAGAUUGCUGAAGUAAUGAGAGACCAAUUUGGGAUAAAACCCAAAGUCAACACUUACUCUUAUCGGACACCAUAUCCUCCCGCAUAUGAUUUGAUCCCGCUUCCGAAUCGGUACAAGGUACCCGAUUUUACCAAGUUUUCCAGACAGGAUGACACGUCAACCAUGGAGCACGUCAAUAGGUUCAUCAUUCAAUGCGGGGAAGCUGGUGACAGGGACGAGUUAAGGGUUCGCUUGUUCUCGUCAUCAUUGUCUGGAUCAGCUUUUACCUGGUUUAUAUCAUUACCUCCCAACUCAGUGAUUACUUGGGCUGAUUUGGAGAAACAAUUCCACAAAUACUUCUUUUCUAGGGUCCAUGAGAAGAAGAUCACCGAUUUGGUCAAAUUGAGGCAACGCAAAUUGAGGCAACGCAAUGAAGAAGAACAAAUGUUAUAGCUUGGUUCUGGAUGAUCGGCAGCUAGCCAAUUUGGCUUUCUAGGGUUUGUUGCCACACAUCAGGGACAAGUAUGCGUCUUAGGAGUUUGAAAGCUUAAGUCAUUUGGUGCAGAGAAUUUUUGUUCAAGAUAUCAAGCCUUUCGAGCCCAAGAGAGCAUGGAACAAGAAGGUGUCGUUCGUUGAUGAAGCGGCAAGCUCGGACUCUGAUGAAGAACUAGUCAUCGGCUUGGCAGAAUGGGUGAAAAACAAAAAGCCGAUGUCUUGUCCUUUUGGGCACAAGGAACGAGAGAAGUUCGCAUUCGACACCACUAAGGCCGAUAGGAUAUUUGACUUUCUACUCCAGGAAGGUCAGAUCAAGCUGUCACCUAAUCAUAUGAUCCCAUCAGCUGAAGAAUUAAAGAGGAUGAAAUAUUGUAAGUGGCACAAUGCAACCUCUCACGACACUAAUGAGUGCAAGGUUUUCAGAAAGCAGCUGCAGUCGGCUAUAGAAUCUGGAAGGAUCAGAUUUGACAGCUCCAAGACCCAGAAGCCGAUGAAGAUUGACCAACAUCCUUUCCCGACAAACAUGCUGGAUGCUAAGGGAAAGGUCAAGGUCUUAACAUCAGAAGCCGCUGAAAGAAGUGCAUCGGUGGAUCCUCAGCAUCAAGUCACUACUACCGACGUGAAAGGGAAAGGUUUAAUCCAGGAGGGAGCUAACUCAGGAAGGCCUCCCCGAUCUGGCAUUGUGAUAACUCACAGGAGGCCUCGGGAGACUUGGCAGCAACGUGAAGAUCGGUAUCGGCGCCAGCAAGAGGAUUAUCAUCAGGAGGAGGAGAGACGCCGACAUGAGUGGAAUCGGCAUCGGGAUCACUGGAAUUGUCCAUUCUUCAUUCAUUGUUGGGAGGAAAAUAUCAAACUUCCUACUGUUAGAGAUUGUCCUGAGUGCAACGGUUAUGAUCAGUAUGACAGGUCCGAUCGGCGCUAUCAAAAUGAUAAUCGGCGGUUUGAUGGACCGAUUAGGGGAAGAGCA